RNAcentral lists this ribosomal RNA (357 nucleotides) under uncultured bacterium. RNAcentral describes it as "partial 16S ribosomal RNA". It matches the Rfam family "Bacterial small subunit ribosomal RNA", at positions 338 to 712 of the family's 1533-position model. The record is from RNAcentral.
CCUACGGGGAGCAGCAGUGGGGAAUAUUGCACAAUGGGGGAAACCCUGAUGCAGCGACGCCGCGUGAGUGAAGAAGUAAUUCGUUAUGUAAAGCUCUAUCAGCAGGGAAGAAAAUGACGGUACCUGAGUAAGAAGCCCCGGCUAACUACGUGCCAGCAGCCGCGGUAAUACGUAGGGGGCAAGCGUUAUCCGGAUUUACUGGGUGUAAAGGGAGCGUAGACGGUAGGGCAAGUCUGGAGUGAAAGGCGGGGGCUCAACCCCCGGACUGCUCUGGAAACUGUACGGCUGGAGUGCAGGAGAGGUAGGUGGAAUUACUAGUGUAGCGGUGACAGGCGUAGAUAUUAAGAUGAACACCAG